This 245-nucleotide long non-coding RNA is filed under the name Elaeis guineensis (African oil palm). RNAcentral describes it as "long non-coding RNA (EGUI_LNC007030)". Lineage: Eukaryota; Viridiplantae; Streptophyta; Magnoliopsida; Arecales; Arecaceae. The record is from RNAcentral.
AAAUAAAUUUACCAUAUAGCUUCAAUUCAUCCUAAUCAUCAUCUUGUGAACUCUCGAUGAUUUGUCUAACAAAACUACGAUGGAAAAAUGGUAUGCUAUGUGCAUGCUUUUCAACAGCUUUUAAAAGCCCCAUGGUGUUGAAGUAGCAAGCAAACGGAUCGAGCAUGCAAGGUGCGAAAGAAUGAGCAAUGGCUUUCAUUCGCCGUUGUGCAUCAACGCAGUUGUUUUGAGGCUGAGAAAGACCA